RNAcentral lists this ribosomal RNA (263 nucleotides) under uncultured archaeon. Its description in RNAcentral is "partial 16S ribosomal RNA". It matches the Rfam family "Archaeal small subunit ribosomal RNA", at positions 717 to 982 of the family's 1478-position model. The record is from RNAcentral.
ACACGACUACAUUAGAACCCGGGUAGUCCCAGCCGUAAACUAUGCGCGUUAGGUGUAUCGGUGACCACGAGUUACCGAGGUGCCGAAGGGAAACCGUGAAACGUGCCGCCUGGGAAGUACGGUCGCAAGGCUGAAACUUAAAGGAAUUGGCGGGGAGCACCACAACAGGUGGAGCCUGCGGUUUAAUUGGACUCAACGCCGGGAAGCUCACCGGAUAAGACAGCGGAAUGAUUGCCGGGCUGAAGACUCUGCAUGACUAGCUG